Molecule: ribosomal RNA, 426 nt
Filed under: uncultured Pseudomonadaceae bacterium
Lineage: Bacteria; Pseudomonadati; Pseudomonadota; Gammaproteobacteria; Pseudomonadales; Pseudomonadaceae
Description: bacterial SSU rRNA
Rfam family: Bacterial small subunit ribosomal RNA
Source: RNAcentral
GGGGAAUAUUGGACAAUGGGUGAAAGCCUGAUCCAGCCAUGCCGCGGGUGUGAAGAAAGUCUUCCGAUUGUAAAGCAACUUAAGUUUGGGGGGAAGGGGUGAAGUUAAUACCUUGGAGUUGUGACUGUUCCAAACGCAUAAACAACGGCUACACUUGGUCCAGCAGCCGCGGUAAUACGAAGGGUGCAAGCGUUAAUCGGAAUUACUGGGCGUAAAGCGCGCGUAGGUGGUUUGGUAAGAUGGAUGUGAAAUCCCCGGGCUCAACCUGGGAACUGCAUCCAUAACUGCCUGACUAGAGUACGGUAGAGGGUGGUGGAAUUUCCUGUGUAGCGGUGAAAUGCGUAGAUAUAGGAAGGAACACCAGUGGCGAAGGCGACCACCUGGACUGAUACUGAGACUGAGGUGCGAAAGCGUGGGGAGCAAACA